Molecule: ribosomal RNA, 338 nt
Filed under: uncultured bacterium
Lineage: Bacteria
Description: bacterial SSU rRNA
Rfam family: Bacterial small subunit ribosomal RNA
Source: RNAcentral
AUUGAACGCUGGCGGCAUGCCUUACACAUGCAAGUCGAACGGCAGCACGGGAGCAAUCCUGGUGGCGAGUGGCGAACGGGUGAGUAAUAUAUCGGAACGUGCCCAGUCGUGGGGGAUAACGUAGCGAAAGCUACGCUAAUACCGCAUACGAUCUAUGGAUGAAAGCGGGGGAUCGCAAGACCUCGCGCGAUUGGAGCGGCCGAUAUCAGAUUAGGUAGUUGGUGAGGUAAAGGCUCACCAAGCCGACGAUCUGUAGCUGGUCUGAGAGGACGACCAGCCACACUGGGACUGAGACACGGCCCAGACUCCUACGGGAGCAGCAGUGGGGAAUUUUGGAC